GAUGAACGCUAGCGGCAGGCUUAAUACAUGCAAGUCGUGGGGCAGCAGGACUGUAGCAAUACAGUUGCUGGCGACCGGCAACCGGGUGCGGAACACGUACGCAACUUACCCUGAACUGGGGGAUAGCCCGGGGAAACCCGGAUUAAUACCCCGUAAUAUAAUGGAGUGGCAUCACUUUAUUAUUAAAGCUCCGGCGGUUCGGGAUGGGCGUGCGGCUGAUUAGGUAGUUGGUUGAGGUAACGGCUCACCAAGCCUACGAUCAGUAACUGGUGUGAGAGCACGACCAGUCACACGGGCACUGAGACACGGGCCCGACUCCUACGGGAGGCAGCAGUAAGGAAUAUUGGGCAAUGGAGGCAACUCUGACCCAGCCAUGCCGCGUGGAGGAUGAAGGCCCUCUGGGUUGUAAACUUCUUUUAUGGGGGACGAAACCUGUGUAUUCUUACGCAGUUGACGGUACCCUAGGAAUAAGCACCGGCUAACUCCGUG
This 489-nucleotide ribosomal RNA is filed under the name uncultured bacterium. Its description in RNAcentral is "partial 16S ribosomal RNA". It matches the Rfam family "Bacterial small subunit ribosomal RNA", at positions 28 to 507 of the family's 1533-position model. The record is from RNAcentral.